Molecule: non-coding RNA, 72 nt
Organism: Caenorhabditis brenneri
Lineage: Eukaryota; Metazoa; Nematoda; Chromadorea; Rhabditida; Rhabditidae
Source: the annotation of a GenBank genome assembly
GCCCCCGCGGCCUAGUGGGUAGCGCUGUUGUUUUGAAAAUUUUGGUCGCGGGUUCGAACCCCACCAGGGUCA